Molecule: ribosomal RNA, 253 nt
Filed under: uncultured bacterium
Lineage: Bacteria
Description: partial 16S ribosomal RNA
Rfam family: Bacterial small subunit ribosomal RNA
Source: RNAcentral
UACGAAGGGGGCAAGCGUUGUUCGGAAUUACUGGGCGUAAAGGGCGCGUAGGCGGCUUCGUCAGUCAGGUGUGAAAGCCCUGGGCUCAACCCGGGAACUGCAUUCGAUACUGCGAAGCUCGAGUCUCGGAGAGGUUGGUGGAAUUCCCAGUGUAGAGGUGAAAUUCGUAGAGAUUGGGAAGAACACCGGUGGCGAAGGCGGCCAACUGGACGAGCACUGACGCUGAGGCGCGAAAGCGUGGGGAGCAAACAGG